Oryza sativa Japonica Group (Japanese rice) is the source of this 955-nucleotide long non-coding RNA. RefSeq lists it as uncharacterized. The record is from RefSeq and is a predicted model, not a curated record. NCBI's taxonomy places the organism in Eukaryota, Viridiplantae, Streptophyta, Magnoliopsida, Poales, Poaceae.
GCAUAUGGUACAGAAUAUGCGUUCCCUCAAUUGCGAAUUUAGCUCCUGGGUAGGUUAGUGACAGCUCAGGCUUUGUCGAUGUCGUCUCCACUACCGAUAACCGUUGACACCUAACAAAACUAGUUAAAUCACAAAAAACAUUAUUAGUUGCAUGAACACUAUGGUGUCGUUAGCUCCACCACUAUUUAUCCCCUUAUCUGUACGGUAGAGGAUAUGUGUCCCUUAUGACCUUAUCCGUAUGAUGCGGUUCUUGGUUGGGCAGGAAUACGGCCAUGGUUCUUGGUUCCAGGAGCUCCUCCAUGGAAUACGGCCAUGGUUCUUGGUUCCAGGAGCUCCUCCAUGGAAUACGGCCACCCAGCUUCCUCCUCCAUGACGCUGACGUGGCAUCCGAAGGACGGCUUCGGGCUUCGGCUGCCGGCGGCGGUUGAGGCAGAAGGUGUGGCCUGCACCACCACCGGCUCGGCGGUGGUGGCGGACUCGUCGCCGUCGUCGAGCGAGAGGUGGAAGGAGAUGAAGUCGGUGUUGCUGGGAGACCGGGCCUCUCGGCGCGUAGCAGAUGCGCCAGGCGCGGCAGGCCGCCGACGCGGAACGGGCGGGAGGAGAUGGGCUGGCAGCUCCCAUUAAAUGGGCGUGGGCCGGUGGGACGGAGGCCGGUCGCCGGCGGCCUCGCCCUCCCCUCCCCCAGAUCCGGCCGGAGGGGAAGCGGCGGGAUGGGUGGCCGGCCGGCGGCGGGAUGGGAGGCCGCUUGGUGAGUCGAUUUUUUUUGUUUUUUUGAUUUUUUUUUAUUUGUGGUUUAGAUGUUUUGCUCUGUGAAUGAAUCUAUGGAUCGAUGUUAAUGAAUCUGUGAUGUUAUAAAUGAGUAUGUGACUCGAUGUUGUCAAUGAACCCGCGAAUCAAUAUUGUGAACAUAUUUGUGAUGUUGUGAAUGAAUAUGUGAAUGGAUAUUGUGAAUGAA